CCAGUUACAGUAGUUCCAGCGCUGACUCCAGCUGUAAAAGAGAACAUGUUGUAUAAGGGAGUAAUAAACUAACUCUGAGGCUGAGACGUCACUCAGGACUGUUUAGUCUGAAAAGCCUGUAGAACACGAGAGACUGAAACUCUACACAGAAACGUCUCACUAAGACAGUAACAGUGAUGAAUAUGAGUGAGAGGAAGAGGAAGAUUCUGUUCUUCAUCAGUCACUGAUCUAACACACUGUGUGUCUCUGAGUCUGUAAAGAUCAUCUUAAACUCAACACAGAUGUGAGAGGAACAACUCACCAGGCGUCAGAGUGAAGAUGAUGAUCCAGAUGAUGGUCAUGAUUCAAACACCUAACAGGCUGCUGUGAUGAGGUCAUUGAGAACGGCUCCUCCUCUUCCUCUGGUCUUUCUGCUCAUGACUGCUGGAGCUUUUGGAACAGAGUGGAGUGUGAAGUACAACCAACAGGAAAUCUGGGCUUUAAAAGGAUCCACAGUGUUUAUGAACGGAACUUUUACUCACCCAGAACG
Pygocentrus nattereri (red-bellied piranha) is the source of this 529-nucleotide long non-coding RNA. RefSeq lists it as uncharacterized. The record is from RefSeq and is a predicted model, not a curated record. Lineage: Eukaryota; Metazoa; Chordata; Actinopteri; Characiformes; Serrasalmidae. The transcript has 3 exons.